This 217-nucleotide long non-coding RNA is filed under the name Elaeis guineensis (African oil palm). Its description in RNAcentral is "long non-coding RNA (EGUI_LNC077169)". The record is from RNAcentral. Lineage: Eukaryota; Viridiplantae; Streptophyta; Magnoliopsida; Arecales; Arecaceae.
CAUCGAAUCGGAUUUAUGAUUAUGUUACAUGUGAAUAUUUGAAAAUAUUGGAUUUGUAUUAAAACAGCAUGAAAUAUACGCUUAUGUUUAUUUGCAGCAUUAUUCUUAAAAAUUAUAUAAUAUUUGAAAUAUCUGGUAGAGAUGCUUGUUACUUACUGGGCUGUCUAGCUCAUUACCUUUCUUUCUAUUUUUCAGAUUCAGAUAAUUAAUUUCGAGC